AAGGAAUUAAAGGCGGAAUUAAAGGAGAAAUUAAAAACUAUGAGGCGAAACCGGCCGUGAGUGCGACGUCUGGGCCCGGGCUGGGGAGAUCCUCAGCCGUGACCCCGCACUGGGUCCACCCAGGUCUCUGAAGUUUGGGAAUGGGAUGAAGAUGGAGCUGCCUGGCUCAGCAGCGUGAUGUCCUGACCUGAUCUGAGCCAAAAGUGCACAAAAAGAUGCAGAAACUUGCACUGGAGAUGGAGAAGACAUUUCCCCCCUUUGCAUGGUCACCUGCUGUUAGAUCUGAAACUUUGCCAGGCUGCCCCAGUCCUAUGAAUGAGAAGUGUUUUUAGGCUUUACCCAUUUUCAUUUUGUGGUUGUGAAGUUCUGUCUGAUCAAGCCCUUUCAUGCUUCACAAAUACUUUUCAGUGUGACAGUUUAAAGCACUCUUGGUGGGGGAAAGUGUUUUAAUAAAUUGAAUAUGCAAAUUA
Molecule: long non-coding RNA, 470 nt
Organism: Lonchura striata (white-rumped munia)
Lineage: Eukaryota; Metazoa; Chordata; Aves; Passeriformes; Estrildidae
Source: RefSeq, a predicted model, not a curated record